CUCUCUUCCGAUCUGCCAAAUGCAUAAAAGAAAAAAAAAAAAGGCUACACUGAGACUGCAUUUCUUAUCUAUCAGAGUGGCAAAAAAAGUAACCUCCUCUGCUCUUUAGACCAUGUGGGAACAGGCAUGCUCGUACGUUGCUGGUAGGAAUGCAAAUUGGUACAAGCUUCAUACAGGAAAAUUUGGCAGAAUCUAACAGAAUUGUAUAUUUCUCAUUGUCUGAUAGGAAUCCCUUCUGUAAAGGAAGUCUGAAGAUACAACCCGACAAC
This is a long non-coding RNA of Myotis brandtii (Brandt's bat), 269 nucleotides long. RefSeq lists it as uncharacterized. Lineage: Eukaryota; Metazoa; Chordata; Mammalia; Chiroptera; Vespertilionidae. The transcript has 3 exons. The record is from RefSeq and is a predicted model, not a curated record.